This 1171-nucleotide long non-coding RNA is filed under the name Zonotrichia albicollis (white-throated sparrow). RNAcentral's name for it is "lncRNA (ENSZALG00000002758.1)". The record is from RNAcentral. Lineage: Eukaryota; Metazoa; Chordata; Aves; Passeriformes; Passerellidae.
CCAUAUAAAAUAAAUACAUAAAAUAUAAAAUAUAUUUAUUUUUCCAGGGCAAGCUGGCCNUUGUAGCUCCUUCCCAAAAUCAGGAUGGGAUUUAGGAUUUUUUGCUGCCAUUAAAUUUGGGGUUUCAGGGCCAAAUCCCAAAAGGAAACGCAGAGAGCAGGAAUUGAAAAUUGUGCAAAAAGUUCUGGAUUGGACCCAAAUCCCUUCUCCAAAACACCCCCAGAGAGCGGGGAGAGCCCCCCAAAAAUGCAGAUUUUUGAGGGAAAAAGGCACCAAAAAGGGGGUGACACAGAGAGGUGGCAGCAGCACAAUGGGGACACAGAGGGGACAAAAACCCACAGCUGGUCCAUGGUGGUGGCAGCAGCAGGAAUGUCCCCUCAGGGCCACCAGGGUCACUUUGGGGACACCCCCAGGUGUCCCUGCCCUGCUCCAGGUGAGCCCUGCCAGGGGUUGGGACAGGAUAUCCCAAUGUCCCCAAUGUCACCCAACAGGGCAGGGCAGAGCUGCAGCACAUCCAGCAGGGUGACCUCAAUGUCCUCAAUGUCCCCAGCCCUGAGUGACACCAAAUCCAGGCCCCAAACCCAGCACUGCCACACCUGGAGAUGCAGCACCAGCAGCAAAGGUGACAAUCAAGGUGACAAAGCCACCACACUGCCCAAAGUGGCUUCACCCCCUCAUUCCCCAUUCCAAAGCCAGCCCCAAAGUGCAGAUUUCAGUUUCACAAGAACCACAAUAAUCAUACACAAAAACACAAACUCACAAGCUCGCACCAGCUUUAGAAAAGGCACCUGGGGCAUCGCCUGGGCUCAGAGCGACGCCCNAAAAUGAAUGGGAAAAUGGAUGGAAAAAUAAGGCAAAAAUGAAUGGAAAAAUAAGGGAAAAAUGAACGGGAAAAUGAAUGGGAAAAAAAAGAGGGAAAAAUAAGGGAAAAUGGAUGGGAAAAUAAGGGAAAACAAGGGAAAAACAAGGGGAAAAUGAAUUGAAAAAUAGGGGAAAAUGGAUGGAAAAAUAAGGGGAAAAUAAGGGAAAAAUGAAUGGGAAAAUGGAUGGGAAAAUAGAUGGAAAAAUAAGGGGAAAAUGAAUGGGAAAAUGAAUGGAAAAGUGAAUGGAAAAAUGAAUGGAAAAAUAAGGGAAAAAUAAAUGGAAAAACAGGGGGGAAAUGAAUGGAAAA